CAAAUGCUUUCGACUUUCAAGGAUCCUCGAGAUCGCUUGUGGCUUGCUCUUUUUCCUGAAGGGGCUGAUUUUACAGAACUGAAAUGUCUAAGGAGUAAAAAAUUUGCAGCUGAAGUUGGACUUCCUGUGCUGACGAAUGUGCUGCUUCCAAAAACAAAGGGUUUUUGUCUUUGCUUGGAAGUGCUUCGGAGUUCCUUGGAUGCAGUUUAUGAUAUAAGUAUUGCAUACAAGCAUCAAUGCCCUACCUUUUUGGACAAUGUAUUUGGUGUGGAUCCUGCAGAAGUCCACAUUCACAUUCGACGUAUCCCAGUCAAGGAUAUCCCAGCAUCUGAUAGUGAGGCUGCUACCUGGUUAAUGAAUACCUUCCAGCUCAAGGAUCGAUUACUAUCAGAUUUCAAAAUUCAUGGCCAUUUCCCUAACGAAGGAACAGGAGAAGAACUUUCUACAUUGAAAUGCUUGGUAAAUCUUAUGACGGUAAAGGGCGAAUAAUCUAUUUGACGGUAAAACUUAUUCCCUUGGCCUUUUAUAGCAUUGAAGUUUAUCACCAAAAUGAUUGAUGUAAAACAAAGAAUCUUGAUCACUUAUACCAUGAAA
RNAcentral lists this unclassified non-coding RNA (594 nucleotides) under Hevea brasiliensis (rubber tree). Lineage: Eukaryota; Viridiplantae; Streptophyta; Magnoliopsida; Malpighiales; Euphorbiaceae. The record is from RNAcentral.